RNAcentral lists this ribosomal RNA (286 nucleotides) under uncultured bacterium. RNAcentral describes it as "partial 16S ribosomal RNA". It matches the Rfam family "Bacterial small subunit ribosomal RNA", at positions 333 to 616 of the family's 1533-position model. The record is from RNAcentral.
GGGCUCCUCGGGACGCAGCAGUGAGGAAUAUUGGUCAAUGGGCGGAAGCCUGAACCAGCCAAGUCGCGUGAGGGGAUAAGGCCCUACGGGUCGUAAACCUCUUUUGCCGGGGAGCAAGGGCCGGGACGCGUCCCGGCCCGGAGAGUACCCGGAGAAAAAGCAUCGGCUAACUCCGUGCCAGCAGCCGCGGUAAUACGGAGGAUGCGAGCGUUAUCCGGAUUUAUUGGGUUUAAAGGGUGCGUAGGCGGGCUUUUAAGUCAGCGGUACAAAUUCGGGGCUCAACCCC